UUUGCUAGUGGGGCACCACCCACUACCACCUCGGGUAGUGGUGGUCCACGGCGGCGGCCACCACCUUACGGUGAUGGCUUUGAGUUUCUUUUUAUUAUUCAUUUUGCUAAUUACAAUUACAGAGCUUUUAAUCCAAAAAUAACCAUACACACACUAACUAUUCUAACACACACCCAGAAAUACGCCUCUUGCUCGGGAAUGCACACGAUCACCCACUUCACGGUGGCGUACGGUGGUUCGAUAGCAACAGCAGUGGCACAGCGGCGGUGGCCACCAUUUCCAAUGGUGGUGAUGGUGGUGGUUCCUGUCCAAAAAUCACACAUACUUCUUCAUAAUUAAUAAUAAACACACACAACCACCUCCUAUGGUGGAUGGUAGCGGAAAUGGGCGAUAGAACACGGUGGCAGCCACCACCUUGUGGUGGUGGCGAUGGGUUUCUAGUCAAAUAACUUCCAUAGCUACACAUUCAACUCGUGGCAGCAGCCUCAUACACAAAAACAACACGAUACCAAGCUCCUAACCACCGACUAAGAGGUUGUGGUCGUCGGAAUGAGCAGAAACGGCGAUUCAAGGGCUGCCGAUACCCACAGCCGGCAAGCACGACGUAAAAAACAUGAAAAGGACGAAGGGAAAGGGAAGGAGAAGCGACAGAUGGCCUUACCGGGAGUUUCUCGGAAAUUCGCGACCUAUGCAGCGAAAAAACAACGCUUCGGACUCCAAUGGAGGUUCCCCGGCGAUUCACGUGACCUUUCAGCUUGCUCCCGACGUCCAGCGAUCGUGUGGUGUUCCGAUGAUAAGUUAACGGUGGCGCUUUGAUGGGGAAGAUAGGGUGACGGCUGAGAGGGUUAUCCAUGGCGGCUAAAGAAGGUCUCUA
Molecule: long non-coding RNA, 874 nt
Filed under: Lactuca sativa (garden lettuce)
Lineage: Eukaryota; Viridiplantae; Streptophyta; Magnoliopsida; Asterales; Asteraceae
Description: long non-coding RNA (LSAT_LNC009934)
Source: RNAcentral